RNAcentral lists this ribosomal RNA (497 nucleotides) under uncultured bacterium. RNAcentral describes it as "partial 16S ribosomal RNA". It matches the Rfam family "Bacterial small subunit ribosomal RNA", at positions 28 to 507 of the family's 1533-position model. The record is from RNAcentral.
GAUGAACGCUGGCGGCGUGCCUAAUACAUGCAAGUCGAGCGAACAGACGAGGAGCUUGCUCCUCUGACGUUAGCGGCGGACGGGUGAGUAACACGUGGAUAACCUACCUAUAAGACUGGGAUAACUUCGGGAAACCGGAGCUAAUACCGGAUAAUAUAUUGAACCGCAUGGUUCAAUAGUGAAAGACGGUUUUGCUGUCACUUAUAGAUGGAUCCGCGCCGCAUUAGCUAGUUGGUAAGGUAACGGCUUACCAAGGCAACGAUGCGUAGCCGACCUGAGAGGGUGGUCGGCCACCCGGGAACUGAGACACGGUCCAGACUCCUACGGGAGGCAGCAGUAGGGAAUCUUCCGCAAUGGGCGAAAGCGUGACGGAGCAACGCCGCGUGAGUGAUGAAGGUCUUCGGAUCGUAAAACUCUGUUAUUAGGGAAGAACAAAUGUGUAAGUAACUAUGCACGUCUUGACGGUACCUAAUCAGAAAGCCACGGCUAACUACGUG